ACCCAGCUGGCUCAGUUGGUAGAGCAUGCAACUCUUGAUCUCUGGGCUGUGAGUUCAAGCCCCACAUUGGGUU
This 73-nucleotide transfer RNA is filed under the name Ailuropoda melanoleuca (giant panda). It matches the Rfam family "tRNA". From Rfam's summary of the family: Transfer RNA (tRNA) molecules are approximately 80 nucleotides in length. Their secondary structure includes four short double-helical elements and three loops (D, anti-codon, and T loops). Further hydrogen bonds mediate the characteristic L-shaped molecular structure. tRNAs have two regions of fundamental functional importance: the anti-codon, which is responsible for specific mRNA codon recognition, and the 3' end, to which the tRNAs corresponding amino acid is attached (by aminoacyl-tRNA synthetases). tRNAs cope with the degeneracy of the genetic code in two manners: having more than one tRNA (with a specific anti-codon) for a particular amino acid; and 'wobble' base-pairing, i.e. permitting non-standard base-pairing at the 3rd anti-codon position. The record is from Rfam by way of RNAcentral. Lineage: Eukaryota; Metazoa; Chordata; Mammalia; Carnivora; Ursidae.